GGUUUCCCGAUGAUGAACCGCGGCGCUCCCCUGGUGCUGAACCUGCGGCCGGGUCAGACGGUGCAGCCACUCACGCUGAUCCAGUCGCCGUCGUUGGGUCAGCUGGUCCGGCCCAGCGUGGGCGUGUCCCCGAUCCUGACCCAGAGCCGACCGGGCGCCGCCCAGACGGGAGCCUUCACCGCCAUGCUGAGCAUCCGCACCGGCACGCCACAACCUGUUAACUUCCAGAUGACCCAGGUGGGCGGAGCCAGCCCUCUGAAGCUGGCAGGAAGCCCCGCCCUCCCCUCAGGAUCGGCUAAUGGAGUCGCCAGAAUCAGUGAGUUAGUUUGUUCUUCUGUUUGAGCGCUGGGAACUAAUGGUGCGUUCACAGCAGGGUGUUUUUGACGCUUAUUCCAACGUUUCUGUCAGUGUUUUCUCUGUUUGUUAUGCUUUUUCUGGCGUUUUUGCCACUUUAUUUGGCUCAAUUCAAACCGGCUCUAAAUGUUUUUUCUGUUCCACUUCGAUGUUCCAAAGCGCUGGGAGCUAAUGCUGCGUUUUCACCCACAUCCGGUGGCGUGAUUACAACAGACGUGAGUUCACAGCGGUGCAAAUGAGGCGAAGACGGGGAAAUAUCGCUGUUCGCGUCGCCGUAAAUUUGCGAUAAAGGGGGCUGUCUUUGGGCGAAGUAAAGGCGCUGACACACCAACCCGAUUAUCGGCCGUCUGGCGAGGUCGGUGACUCGAGUCUGUUUGGUGUGUUCUGUGCCGUCGUCCGUCGGAGGAGCCGUCGGCCUUCAUUUGGGCCGAUUUCACUUGUUGAAUCGGCCAGCGGGCAGUCGGACUCAAGGACCAAUCUGAUUGGUGGAGUUCUAUCCCUUGACUAGCGAAUCAGAGCAUGAAAAACCGGGAAGUGACGUGUAAACAUACCAGAUAAACAGUGAUGGUGCAGACCCGCUCACUCACUAUCAUCGCAUCAUUUGGAUUAUUGAAUUGGAUUUCUGUUGGAUUUUGGAUCAUCGUGACUCUGUGGACCGAAGCACUCGAAGACGAGUUGAUCAGCAUGAUCGAGGAGAGGCCGCCGCUGUACAACGCAUCUGAAAAGAACUAUUCCAACCAAGUAGUGAAGAGAGACUGCUGGCGUCAGAUCACGGAGAAAAUACAUAUAUCAGAGAAAGAGACUAAGAAGAAGUGGGAGUCCCUGCGAACACAGUUUCUCCGCUAUCGCAAGCUCCCUCCUUCAGGAAGCUGUGGGACCGACCAGACUCCCAGACAGCAGUGGAUACUCAGGAGGUUACACUUCCUGGAGCCACACACCGGAAGGAAAGGAAGUCACUCUGACCCCACUCACACGGACCCCCCGGCUCCUGCUGACACCAGCUCAGGCUCCACUGUUGAUGCCUUGGACAACAACCAGGAUGAGACGGCUUUGGAGCCGCCAAUAGCAGAAUCUCUUUGUUUGGACCCAGGCUCUGAGUCAACCAGCUCCAGCACGUCAGCUGGAAGGACGCGAAGGCCUCCUGCAACGCCCAGCAGGAGAUCUCCCAAUGAUCCGCUGGCAGACGCAUCGAUGGGGCUGAUGCACACGAUAGAGACGGCGCUGUACAGACUGUCUGCAGAGGGCAGACCUGACUCCGUUGCACUGGUCUGCCAGAGCAUCCAACACAAGUUCAGGAUGGUGCCACCACAUCUCCUGCCUCGAUUGGAGAACAGAGUUCAAAACCUCAUUUUUCAUUUUUUCGAGGAGCACAACCUGCACACACACACAAAUGACUCUUAAAGGUCCAGUGUGUAAUGGGUUGAGUUGUUCAUGAAUAUUUACCUCCACCAUCAACUCCAAGUGUUCCUAUUGGCUUAAAAUUUAACAUUAGCGUUUGCAUGAACUGGGGUAGACGCUCCAUAUUCAUGCUCCAUCUAGAAAUACGUUAGCUGGUAAGAGACAUACAGGACACACUGCUCCACCUGUUAGUGUGUGUGUGUGUGUGUGUGUGUGUGUAAGAGACAUACAGGACACACUGCUCCACCUGUUAGUGUGUGUGUGUGUGUGUGUGUGUGUGUGUGUAAGGGACAUACAGGACAUACUGCUCCACCUGUGUGUGUGUGUGUGUGUGUGUGUGUGUGUGUGUGUGUGUGUGUGUGUGUGUGUAAGAGACAUACAGGACACACUGCUCCACCUGUUAGUGUGUGUGUGUGUGUGUGUGUGUGUGUGUGUGUGUGUGUAAGGGACAUACAGGACAUACUGCUCCACCUGUGUGUGUGUGUGUGUGUGUGUGUGUGUGUGUGUGUGUGUGUGUGUGUGUGUGUGUGUGUGUGUGUGUGUGUGUGUGUGUGUGUGUAAGGGACAUACAGGAUAUACUGCUCCACCUUUCAUGUUUUCUCUGUCACAUGAUAAACUAACAGCUGCUGCUAAUGCUGCAAAUAGGUAUUGUAGCUUCCUGAAGAAGGAAACAUGGAGGACCACACGUAUUCAAAAUCCAAAUUUCAGGAUCAGGAGUCUUCUUGUUCUUCACCCAGAAAAAGAAAACAGAGAUUGAAAAGAGCAAGAGACUCUUUUUGAAGCGUGAAGGCUACCGUAGCUGUAAUACCUACUCUGCGUGGUGCGAGAGUUGAUGAUAUAUGAUCUCAACACUAGACGAGAGAAAUUCCUACACACUGGACCUUUAAUGUUUGUAUUUGUGCUUUUCCCCCAUUAUAUUUCAUACAUUUUAUUUCUGAUAAUAAAAGCCUAUCUUUGGAAAAGAGAAUGUCCCUGUAUUUUUUCCACUGACCUUAUGAUG
Molecule: long non-coding RNA, 2752 nt
Organism: Sander lucioperca (pikeperch)
Lineage: Eukaryota; Metazoa; Chordata; Actinopteri; Perciformes; Percidae
Source: Ensembl